Molecule: unclassified non-coding RNA, 1018 nt
Filed under: Hevea brasiliensis (rubber tree)
Lineage: Eukaryota; Viridiplantae; Streptophyta; Magnoliopsida; Malpighiales; Euphorbiaceae
Source: RNAcentral
CACCAACCUGGACCCUUUCAGGCAAUGGAGGAGUGCUUCCUUCCUCCUCUGCCGCUGCUAACCCUUUAUUACCACUUCCUCCACCACUCUCAUGCUCAUCCAUCUUCUCCACUUCCCCUUUUCCCUUUUUACCUUCUUUCAUUUCUUUUGACAACUUUAUCUCCAAAACAACAUGGCACACAACAACAACACCCACAGGCGCAUUUUAGCAGCUCCAGACCAUAAUCCUAAAACUUCCAUUUCCAUGGAUCCCACUCUCAAAAAGCAACCAAAACCCACCCCCUUUACCUCCAAGAGUACUAUACACAACAUCUCCAAUCAAUUUUCCCAUCUCAAUGCAAAUCACAAAAUCCUUAAAUCUGGGCAUACAUCAUAUUCACUUGACACACACUUAAACCCCAAAUCUUGGACUGAUUCAUCAUGCUCAGCUCUCACCAAGUCAAAGAGCCAACAGGGGAAAACAGAGGCAAUUAUCAAGAAAGUGCCCCAAAGGGGUAAAGAGUUUCACAAAGAGGUGGAUGUUAAAAGGGGUUCUGUUAAUUUGUCUAAAAGUCAGGAAAUUGAAAAGUUCAAGGGGUUUGAUGAGAUAAAAAAGCAAUCUUUAUCAGUUUUAUUGAAGAAUAAUGGAAGGAGGAAAUCAUUUUGUGGUUCAAAAAUUGAGCUGACUGAUUUCUUUUCUUGUAGUGGUGUCAAAGUUGUGUCUGUAGAUAUGCCACCAUUUAUGCAGGUUCAUGCUGUUAAUUGUGCAAGGAAGACUCAUGAUAGCUUGGAAAAGUUUACAUCUAAAGCUCUUGCACUUACCCUCAAAAAGGAAUUUGAUGAAGUGUACGGUCCAGCAUGGCAUUGUAUAGUAGGGACCAGUUUUGGUUCUUUUGUAACACAUUCUAUUGGUGGUUUUAUGUAUUUUUCUAUGGAUCAUAAGAUAUAUGUACUCCUAUUCAAGACUACUGUACAAAAAGCAGAAUCUAGUUUUAAAUCUUAAGGUGAAAUAUAGACCAAAUAUUUGGUAAAAAAGCAG